AUCUUUAACAUGCAGUCGAACGGCAGCGCGAGAGAGCUUGCUCUCUUGGCGGCGAGUGGCGGACGGGUGAGUAAUAUAUCGGAACGUGCCCAGUAGCGGGGGAUAACUACUCGAAAGAGUGGCUAAUACCGCAUACGCCCUACGGGGGAAAGGGGGGGAUCGCAAGACCUCUCACUAUUGGAGCGGCCGAUAUCGGAUUAGCUAGUUGGUGGGGUAAAGGCUCACCAAGGCAACGAUCCGUAGCUGGUUUGAGAGGACGACCAGCCACACUGGGACUGAGACACGGCCCAGACUCCUACGGGAGGCAGCAGUGGGGAAUUUUGGACAAUGGGGGAAACCCUGAUCCAGCCAUCCCGCGUGUAUGAUGAAGGCCUUCGGGUUGUAAAGUACUUUUGGCAGAGAAGAAAAGGUAUCCCCUAAUACGGGAUACUGCUGACGGUAUCUGCAGAAUAAGCACCGGCUAACUACGUGCCAGCAGCCGCGGUAAUACGUAGGGUGCAAGCGUUAAUCGGAAUUACUGGGCGUAAAGCGUGUGUAGGCGGUUCGGAAAGAAAGAUGUGAAAUCCCAGGGCUCAACCUUGGAACUGCAUUUUUAACUGCUGAAGCUAGAGUAUGUCAGAGGGGGGUAGAAUUCCACGUGUAGCAGUGAAAUGCGUAGAUAUGUGGAGGAAUACCGAUGG
RNAcentral lists this ribosomal RNA (680 nucleotides) under Alcaligenes faecalis. RNAcentral describes it as "bacterial SSU rRNA". It matches the Rfam family "Bacterial small subunit ribosomal RNA", at positions 46 to 715 of the family's 1533-position model. Lineage: Bacteria; Pseudomonadati; Pseudomonadota; Betaproteobacteria; Burkholderiales; Alcaligenaceae. The record is from RNAcentral.